AACGAACGCUGGCGGCAUGCCUAACACAUGCAAGUCGAACGAGACCUUCGGGUCUAGUGGCGCACGGGUGCGUAACGCGUGGGAACCUGCCCUUAGGGUCGGAAUAACUCCCCGAAAGGGGUGCUAAUACCGGAUAAUGUCUGCGGACCAAAGAUUUAUCGCCUUUGGAUGGGCCGGCGUUGGAUUAGCUAGUUGGUAGGGUAAAAGCCUGCCAAGGCGACGAUCCAGAGCUGGUCUGAGAGGAGGAUCAGCCACACUGGGACUGAGACACGGCCCAGACGCCUACGGGAGGAAGCAGUGGGGAAUAAUGGACAAUGGGCGAAAGACUGAUCCAGCAAUGCCGCGUGAGUGAUGCAGGCCUUAGGGUUGUAAAGCUCUUUUGCCCGGGAGGAUAAUGACAGUACCGGGAGAAUAAGCGCCGGCUAACUCCGUG
This 433-nucleotide ribosomal RNA is filed under the name uncultured bacterium. Its description in RNAcentral is "partial 16S ribosomal RNA". It matches the Rfam family "Bacterial small subunit ribosomal RNA", at positions 29 to 507 of the family's 1533-position model. The record is from RNAcentral.